RNAcentral lists this long non-coding RNA (236 nucleotides) under Elaeis guineensis (African oil palm). Its description in RNAcentral is "long non-coding RNA (EGUI_LNC076613)". Lineage: Eukaryota; Viridiplantae; Streptophyta; Magnoliopsida; Arecales; Arecaceae. The record is from RNAcentral.
CACUACUCUUUGCAACAAACUCCUCCUGACCCUGGGCAGCCCACUGCCAGACGGUUACAAACAUCACUAUCAGUCUGUUGCCCCCUCCGCCUAUAAAAGGGGGACCACAGAUACGUUAUUCUCUAAGCUCUAAUUUCUAUCCUAAAAACUUUGCUAAAAUUUUCGUUCGAGCACUCCAUUCUUGUUGAGGUAGAGAACUGACUUGAGCGUCGGAGGGUCUUGUCGGAGCAACCCCA